Molecule: long non-coding RNA, 3245 nt
Organism: Ostrea edulis (European flat oyster)
Lineage: Eukaryota; Metazoa; Mollusca; Bivalvia; Ostreida; Ostreidae
Exons: 2
Source: RefSeq, a predicted model, not a curated record
GGUUUACAUUGCGUUUUGUGUUAUACUGUACGAUGCAUAGCUCCACGGUUUACAUUGUGCUUUGUCUUAUACCGUACGUUGCAUGGCUCCAAAGUUUACAUUCUGUCGAAUAUGAAGUUAUUAAAGAAAUGUAUGUCAUUUAGCAUUAGAAUUUUGUCACAGUUUAGAAAUGAAUACUACAGAUGAAUUAUUGUAUUUAUCACAUACAAAUCUACAGAAUUAUGACCUUAAGGAACAUAAAUCUGUGGAAUUAGAACCCUGCAGACAAAAGUACUUAACUGUUUCAUCAUACCUACAUCUAAUGUCAAAUCAGCAGUAGCGUAACAAGAUGCUGUUUGUCAGAAUAUCUUCUACAUUAAACUUAAUCAACAUCAAAUGAGUUAUUACUGAUGCCUCUGUACCACUGUUUAUGAUGUGUCUUAAACAAUUGACACAAACAAUACAUAUUGAUCAAGGUGUAAUUAUUUGAUCAGAUUUUAUCCUCAAUUUUGAGGAACACAUCAAAUAUAACAACUUAAUGCAUUUACAUGAAAUAAUAACAAUAUAGAUAUUUACAUGAAAUAAUAACAAUAUAGAUAUUUACAUGAAAUAAUAACAAUAUAAAUAUGGGGAAUAAUAUACCAGUAAAAUUGCUUGUGCAAAACUCCUCUUACAUUUAUGAUAAGAAUUUAUAGUUGAACUGGUACUAAAGUCUGCAGUUUUUAGGACCACAAACAUAACAGAAAUUUGUACCACAUGGAAAACAACUAUUCUACAGUACAGAAAUCAUCUACACAAUUCUAAUUCUUUCUCUUUUUUAAUCUCUCAUAGGAAAUUUCCGUCUUAGAAAGUGCACCAUGGGAAAUGGGGGAACUUUCCAGCGUUUGUGACAUUGCAACAAGACUGACCUGUAUUUACAUGUGAGAAUGCACAGUUUUAUUAUAUAAAGAGCAGAUAACUCUGUAUUUAAAUAGAAGAAUGCAGUUUUAUUAUAUACAGAGCAGAUAACUCUGUAUUUGCAUAUAUGAAUGCACUGUUUUAUUAUUUUUUUUAGUUCUUUUAUAUUUACGAAAUUUUUACUUCACACAUAUAUCACUGUUGCAUACAUAUGAGAAAUAGGUUACACGGAUAUUUUCACACAACAUAUUCAUUUUGAAAUACAACUCAAUAACAUCAGGUAUACUGUCUGCAUUUCAUGUUUAUCUUAUUCUUUUAUGUAAGUAUAUGUAUGAUGUAAAAAUCUUUUUAUGGGGAGAGAGAGAGAGAGGGGGGGGGAGAGAGAGGGGGAGGAAAAAGAUAAAGGUACAUAAGUAUUAAUUUCUUGGCAACAGAUUUUGCAGGGAUCGAAAUUAACUGUUUUCACUACUAGCAAAUUUUAGUUAGUGGAUUAUUGUCCAACUAGCAAAAUUUAGCUUUUACUAGCAUUUUUCAAUCGAUUGCUGUUUUACAGGAAUUUAAGAAAACAAGCAUGUCUCUAUAUUAAAAUAUAGGAAAAAUCUUCUUUAAAGUGCAAUAAUAAAAAUAAGAUUGAGAAUUCUUUCAUUUACCAUUUAAUGAAUUAUCAGACAACAUGCAUUGGUGCAUGGUGAGGGUCAUAGGAUACACUUGUGUGGUGUACUAGCUGUCCAGAGAUCUACCACCUAUUUACAACACCACAUGGUUUGAAAUCUUGAAGACUGUUAGCGCCAAUUCAAACUACAUGUAUAUGUUAAAAACUUUUGGAAAUUUCAUCUAAUAAAUUCUAGUUGAAAAAAAACAACAACCCGCGCACUCGAAGUGUUUGACUAUAGACUACAGCAGGACACUGCCUGAAGCGGUGACACUAACACUUCAUGUGUUAAGUAAACACGGACGAGAUCAACAUGCUUGCUAUUUAAAUCAGACGUCUCCGAGACGCCUGAAGUGUGCUUGAAGUAGGCCAUUUUCGACAUCACUGACUGAGAUGAUCUUGGCCUUAGUUAUUUAUUCGAUCCACGUUUACUUUUUCAAUACAUUUAUAUUCAUUCUGUAAAGCAUUUCUAUGCACAAGACAAAGACAAAAUUAUUGUAAACUUCAAAGUACAGCCAGCAAACCGAGGAAAUUCGAAAAAAGAUUUUUUUCACUCGCAAAAAAUUGCGAUCGUUUGUGAUUUUUCACUCGCAAUUUUAAUUUUGAACUCGCAUUUAGCGAGUAUUUCCCCUUAAUUUCGUUGCCUAUUUUGAUAACUAUAAUAGAUCUAUAUAUAUCUAUUGAUCAAACCACACACACACAAAAACCAGACAAAAAACAAAACAAAAACAAGAUGUGUUUGUGCAACACAAAUGCCCCCGAUAAUGGCCAAUUCCGAAGAUGGCCAAAGUCACAAGGACAAAUAUCUUGGUACCAGUAAAAAGAUCUUGUCACAAGAAAUGCUCAUGUACAAUAUGAAAGCUCUAAUAUUUACCAUUUAGAAGUUAUGAUCAAUGUAAAAAAAAAAAAAAAUUAAAAGUAGGUCAAAUUCCAAGGUCAAGGUCACAGGGUAAAAAAUGUUGGUACCCACGGAAAGGUCUUGUCACAAGGAAUACUCAUGUGAAAUAUCAAAGCUCUACCACUUACUGUUCAAAAGUUAUUAGCAAGGUUAAAUGUUUCAAAAAGUAGGUCAAACUCCGAGGUCAAGGUCACAGGGUCAAAAAUGUUGGUACCCACGGAAAGGUCUUGUCACAAGGAAUACUCAUGUGAAAUACCAAAUUUCUAUCACUUACUGUUCAAAAGUCAUUAGCAAGGUUAAAAUUUCAGACAGAAUGACAGACAGGACAAAAACAAUAUGCCCCCUGAUCUUCGAUCUCGGGGGCAUAAAAAAAAAAACCAUUUGAUGAAAAAGUACAGAUAUAGUAUAGUAUAGACCUACAUGUAUAUACUAAUCAUAAGUUUCCACAUAUUCUCUGCCAGCGAGUUUCAUAUUCAUCCUAGUCCCUGGCAGUUUAAGGUAAGUAUGUAAAGAUUGUUUUCACUUAAGUUUUUAUCCAUGAUAGCCAAAGUUCUGACAGGAGCUUUGUCCUGUUCAAUGUAUAUGUACCUCUAAGGAAAGAAAAGAGAAUAGAAGGAAAAAAAACAUUGCGGCGAAGACUUGGAAAAACUCCCACAAAUAUUGAACCUGACAACAUGCUCGAGGAUUGCAAGUGUCUGAGCAAGUUCUACCAAAAACUACUUGUGAUAACCUGUGAAUUCUAUAAAUCCCGGUUUUUGGUGAAAAACUAUCGUUCGAUCGAAAAACACAACCUUACAUGUCGAGCAUGUGCACUUCCCC